UUGAUUGUUUUGUGUGGUACGUUUACUACAGGUACUUCAAGGGUUGGUUUGGGGUCCUCGCUGGCGGGCGGACCCGCCGAGGAGACGCGGAUUCGCCAAUGACAGGGGGUUCUCUUCUCAGGCGGUCGGUGGGGGACCGACGCAGCCGAAGCUCGCCGCUCGACCCCACCUACAGGCCCAUACUUUCGAGGGUUGGGCCAUCGCGAGCCAGGCCACACGAGGCGCCGCAAUGCGCGGGUCCGGCCGCUCUGGCCACCCUUUCUAAUGAUCCUUCCGCAGGUUCACCUACGGAAA
This 294-nucleotide unclassified non-coding RNA is filed under the name uncultured fungus. RNAcentral describes it as "sequence contains ITS1". The record is from RNAcentral. Lineage: Eukaryota; Fungi.